GUGAAAACUGCGGGCUCCGAGCUGGGUGCAGCAACCGGAGGCGGCGGCGCGUCUGGAGGAGGCUGCAGCAGCGGAAGACCCCAGUCCAGAUCCAGGACUGAGAUCCCAGAACCAUGAACCUGGCCAUCAGCAUCGCUCUCCUGCUAACAGGUACCCGGCAUGGGGCAGGACUGGGGCUCCAGGCGCCCUGGCUUCCUUCCCUCCAGAGAAGCAGCUUCUCCCUCACAGUCUCAGAAAAGCGCAGGUGACAAAGAGAGGGCUCUUUUUCAUCCUGAAGUCAGCCAAUCCACCGCGCUGAUAUUCUGACGGCCUGAGGUGGUUUUUGAAAACACAGUUUGCUGAGCCCUCCUUCACACUAUUGAACUAGAAUCCCCAACUGAGAACCCGGAACCAGCAUCAACUCCCUAAGAUCUCCUGUCCUUGAAACACAUUGAUAGGAUCCAAGGCUCAAGCAGAGUGGGGAGGGAGGCUGGGGUCUGCAAAGGAGAAGUGGGAUCCCUGGGGUGGGGAAAGGCACUCAGAGAGCAGACCCCGGUCCCCUCCCUAGCCAGGCCCAUCUCUCCACUUCAGGUGGGUGGGAGGCCCCUGUGCCGCAGGCCCCUCCAGUUUG
This 610-nucleotide long non-coding RNA is filed under the name Homo sapiens (human). Its description in RNAcentral is "non-protein coding lnc-USP2-2:1". The record is from RNAcentral. Lineage: Eukaryota; Metazoa; Chordata; Mammalia; Primates; Hominidae.